This is a long non-coding RNA of Leptopilina boulardi, 499 nucleotides long. RefSeq lists it as uncharacterized. The transcript is spliced from 3 exons. The record is from RefSeq and is a predicted model, not a curated record. NCBI's taxonomy places the organism in Eukaryota, Metazoa, Arthropoda, Insecta, Hymenoptera, Figitidae.
UGGAAAAACUACAUAAUCCUUGAUACUAAAGGCAAAUACCUGGAGCCCGUUGCUCCGAGGUUAUGUGGGGAUGACCGUUCUUGUUCUGGUCGACCCACUAAAAAGUACACCCUUUGGCUGGACUAAUCCACACGACGAAACUGCCGUCAAGAUUUAAACUUUACGGAAUAUAUUUAUUUAGGAGAAAAAGUAAAAAUAAAAAAAGAGGUGUGGAAUUCUAUUGUAAAUCAAGAACUAGACUCAAAGUUUGUCAAAUAUUUAGCAACAGCAAUAUUUGGCAGAAAUGAGCUAGUUAAUUCGUAUCUGAAGGAAACUCCAAACAUUAUAAAUUUGCCAAAUAGAUCUCCACGCAAAUUGUUAAAUGAAAAAAAAAAAGAAAUAUUAUACAAAUGCUUCGUAGAUAGAUUGGAUAACGUAAAGAAUAAAAUCGAACGAGAAAAAAAAUUUGGGUACUACAUUAGCCAGCAUAUUCGUACACUUAGGAAUCUUAUGCAUCCAG